AACGAACGCUGGCGGCGUGCUUAAAACAUGCAAGUCGAACGGGGGCUUCGGCCCCAGUGGUAAACGGCUGAGUAACGCGUGGGUGACCUACCUGGAAGUGGGGAAUAACUGCCCGAAAGGGUGGCUAAUACCGCAUGUGAUGGCGAGACCGAUCUCGUCAUGAAAGUCUUCGGACGCUUCGAGAGGGGCCCGCGUUCGAUUAGCUAGUUGGUGGGGUAACGGCCUACCAAGGCGACGAUCGAUAGCUGGUCUAAGAGGAUGAUCAGCCAGACUGGGACUGCGACACGGCCCAGACUCCUACGGGAGGCAGCAGUUAGGAAUUUUGGGCAAUGGGCGAAAGCUUGACCCAGCAACGCCGCGUGGGUGAUGAAGGCCUUCGGGUCGUAAAGCCCUUUUUCAGGGGAAGAUGAUGACGGUACCCUGAGAAUAAGCCCCGGCUAACUACGUGCCAGCCGCCGCCGUAA
This 464-nucleotide ribosomal RNA is filed under the name uncultured bacterium. Its description in RNAcentral is "partial 16S ribosomal RNA". It matches the Rfam family "Bacterial small subunit ribosomal RNA", at positions 29 to 523 of the family's 1533-position model. The record is from RNAcentral.